Molecule: transfer RNA, 82 nt
Filed under: Pantoea ananatis
Lineage: Bacteria; Pseudomonadati; Pseudomonadota; Gammaproteobacteria; Enterobacterales; Erwiniaceae
Description: tRNA-Undet
Source: RNAcentral
UCGUCCGUAGCUUCAGUUGGUUAGUACGUCACCACCUUGACUAUGGUGGGGUCGGGUGGUUCGAGUCCACUCGGACGCACCA